This 449-nucleotide ribosomal RNA is filed under the name uncultured bacterium. RNAcentral's name for it is "partial 16S ribosomal RNA". It matches the Rfam family "Bacterial small subunit ribosomal RNA", at positions 354 to 795 of the family's 1533-position model. The record is from RNAcentral.
GUGGGGAAUUUUGGACAAUGGGCGCAAGCCUGAUCCAGCAAUGCCGCGUGUGUGAAGAAGGCCUUCGGGUUGUAAAGCACUUUUGUCCGGAAAGAAAUGGCCUGGGUUAAUACCCCGGGUCGAUGACGGUACCGGAAGAAUAAGCACCGGCUAACUACGUGCCAGCAGCCGCGGUAAUACGUAGGGUGCGAGCGUUAAUCGGAAUUACUGGGCGUAAAGCGUGCGCAGGCGGCGAUGCAAGACAGAUGUGAAAUCCCCGGGCUCAACCUGGGAACUGCAUUUGUGACUGCAUGGCUAGAGUGCGUCAGAGGGGGGUGGAAUUCCGCGUGUAGCAGUGAAAUGCGUAGAGAUGCGGAGGAACACCGAUGGCGAAGGCAGCCCCCUGGGAUGACACUGACGCUCAUGCACGAAAGCGUGGGGAGCAAACAGGAUUAGAUACCCCUGUAUCC